GGCCGCACAAAGUUUUAUUGAAAAUAAUGUCAGGAUCUGAGAUCUGUAAGAGGACUCUCCUGUGCAGUAAGAGAAAGAAGCUUGUUUACAACUGUCAGAAAGUAGCUUCUUGGAGUCGGGAAGACGGGUUUUUAUCCGUCAUUUGAAGCGUGCCUUUGUGAGAAUUAAGACACGAUGUGAAAAAUCCCUCUCUCUCUUGAUUACUUUUCAGGACCAGAAGAGAGUAGCUCUCCCCAACCCCUCAUGCAGCGAAAAAAUGUAUGCAGCUGAAGUAAACGGCCCUGCACAGCGUUGCCAGCCGUAUAACUCUUAACAACCCAAACUAAUAAAUCCUAGAAACCUUUCA
This 346-nucleotide long non-coding RNA is filed under the name Homo sapiens (human). RNAcentral describes it as "HSALNT0125415". The record is from RNAcentral. Lineage: Eukaryota; Metazoa; Chordata; Mammalia; Primates; Hominidae.